GGUCAAGAUAGAAAGAGCUAACGGC
RNAcentral lists this ribosomal RNA (25 nucleotides) under Spirulina subsalsa FACHB-351. RNAcentral's name for it is "partial 23S ribosomal RNA". The record is from RNAcentral. Lineage: Bacteria; Bacillati; Cyanobacteriota; Cyanophyceae; Spirulinales; Spirulinaceae.